GACGAACGCUGGCGGCGUGCUUAACACAUGCAAGUCGAACGGAAAGGCCCCUUUGGGGGUACUCGAGUGGCGAACGGGUGAGUAACACGUGAGUAACCUGCCCUUGACUUCGGGAUAACUUCAGGAAACUGGGGCUAAUACCGGCUAGGAAUCCUUGCUGCAUGGUGGGGGUUGGAAAGCUUCGGCGGUUUUGGAUGGACUCGCGGCUUAUCAGCUUGUUGGUGGGGUAGUGGCUUACCAAGGCGUUGACGGGUAGCCGGCCUGAGAGGGCGACCGGCCACAUUGGGACUGAGGUACGGCCCAGACGCCUACGGGAGGCAGCAGUGGGGAAUAUUGCACAAUGGGCGGAAGCCUGAUGCAGCAACGCCGCGUGCGGGAUGACGGCCUUCGGGUUGUAAACCGCUUUCAGCAGGGGCGAAGCUUGUGGUGACGGUACCUGCAGAAGAAGCACCGGCUAACUACGUG
Molecule: ribosomal RNA, 465 nt
Filed under: uncultured bacterium
Lineage: Bacteria
Description: partial 16S ribosomal RNA
Rfam family: Bacterial small subunit ribosomal RNA
Source: RNAcentral